This 887-nucleotide ribosomal RNA is filed under the name uncultured Planctomycetota bacterium. RNAcentral's name for it is "bacterial SSU rRNA". It matches the Rfam family "Bacterial small subunit ribosomal RNA", at positions 510 to 1393 of the family's 1533-position model. The record is from RNAcentral. Lineage: Bacteria; Pseudomonadati; Planctomycetota.
AGCCGCCGCGGUAUACGAAGGGCCCGAGCGUUGCGCGGAAUCACUGGGCUUAAAGCGUGCGCAGGCGGACUGGUAGGCGGCUUGUGAAAGCCCUCGGCUCAACCGAGGAAUUGCUCGCCGAACCAUCAGUCUUGAGGCAGGUAGGGGCCGUCGGAACGAUCGGUGGAGUGGUGAAAUGCGUUGAUAUCGAUCGGAACACCGAAGGAGAAAUCAGGCGGCUGGGCCUGUCCUGACGCUCAUGCACGAAAGCGUGGGUAGCGAACGGGAUUAGAUACCCCGGUAGUCCACGCCGUAAACGUUGUGCACUAGAUCGAGGGGGUUCUGACACUGCUCUCGGUCGAAGCGAAAGUGUUAAGUGCACCGCCUGGGGAGUACGGUCGCAAGGCUAAAACUCAAAGGAAUUGACGGGGGCUCACACAAGCGGUGGAGCAUGUGGCUUAAUUCGAAGCAACGCGAAGAACCUUAUCCUGGGUUGAACUACGGCGGAUUAGCUGCUGGAAACAGUAGUGACGCCUUCGGGUGGAACGUCGAUAGGUGCUGCAUGGCUGUCGUCAGCUCGUGCUGUGAAGUGUCGGGUUAAGUCCCUUAACGAGCGCAACCCUUAUCGCUAGUUGCCAGCGAGUCAUGUCGGGGACUCUAGCGAGACUGCCGGUGUCAAACCGGAGGAAGGUGGGGAUGACGUCAAGUCCGCAUGGCCUUUAUGCCCAGGGCUGCACACGUGCUACAAUGGUCGGUACAGAACGAAGCAAUACCGCAAGGUGGAGCAAAUCGCAAAAGCCGGCCCCAGUUCGGAUUGCAGGCUGCAACUCGCCUGCAUGAAGUUGGAAUCGCUAGUAAUCGUGGAUCAGCUACGCCACGGUGAAUCGUUCCUGAGCCUGCACACCCGC